UUCCGGGCUGGGGACGGAGUGAAGUCCCACGUAUCUCAAUUAAGGGAAGUGCCGGGUUUAUAUGAAGAACAUACACUUUCAGCAAGGGAGCUGCUUACCGAAAGAGAAGUCCCUCCUCCAAAAGACCGCCUUGGAGGGCUGCGCAGGUGCAGGUAUCUCUACUAAGAAGAUAGAAGACUUACUUUCAUCAUCUGAAUCAAAUCCAAAGAGUGUCUGACAUUUCUUUUGUGCAAGAUGAGCCUCAAGUGCUUCUGCAUUACACAACCAACAUUUUAUAAGCCACGGCAAAGAAAUGGAAAACAGACUGCCUAUAUUGGUGCGUGAAAGAGAGAUGAGUAGAGAAGGCUAAACAACAAAAAUUCAUUCAGAAUCCUCCUCCUCUAUUCUGAUUCUUGUAUUUUUAUCCUCUUCCUAAAUUCUGGACAUGAGUCUCACUUCGUCACCCAGGCU
Long non-coding RNA from Piliocolobus tephrosceles (Ugandan red Colobus), 450 nucleotides. RefSeq lists it as uncharacterized. The transcript is spliced from 4 exons. The record is from RefSeq and is a predicted model, not a curated record. NCBI's taxonomy places the organism in Eukaryota, Metazoa, Chordata, Mammalia, Primates, Cercopithecidae.